RNAcentral lists this ribosomal RNA (549 nucleotides) under uncultured bacterium. Its description in RNAcentral is "partial 16S ribosomal RNA". It matches the Rfam family "Bacterial small subunit ribosomal RNA", at positions 355 to 893 of the family's 1533-position model. The record is from RNAcentral.
UGGGGAAUUUUGGACAAUGGGCGAAAGCCUGAUCCAGCAAUGCCGCGUGUGUGAAGAAGGCCUUCGGGUUGUAAAGCACUUUUGUCCGGAAAGAAAUCCUUGGCUCUAAUACAGUCGGGGGAUGACGGUACCGGAAGAAUAAGCACCGGCUAGCUACGUGCCAGCAGCCGCGGUAAUACGUAGGGUGCAAGCGUUAAUCGGAAUUACUGGGCGUAAAGCGUGCGCAGGCGGUUUUGCUAAGACCGAUGUGAAAUCCCCGGGCUCAACCUGGGAACUGCAUUGGUGACUGGCAGGCUAGAGUAUGGCAGAGGGGGGUAGAAUUCCACGUGUAGCAGUGAAAUGCGUAGAGAUGUGGAGGAAUACCGAUGGCGAAGGCAGCCCCCUGGGCCAAGUACUGACGCUCAUGCACGAAAGCGUGGGGGAGCAAACNGGAUUAAUACCCUGGUAGUCCACGCCCUAAANGAUGUCAACUAGUUGUUGGGGAUUCAUUUUCCUUAGUAACGUAGCUAACGCGUGAAGUUGACCGCCUGGGGGAGUACGGUCGCAAGA